Balaenoptera musculus (blue whale) is the source of this 585-nucleotide long non-coding RNA. RefSeq lists it as uncharacterized. The record is from RefSeq and is a predicted model, not a curated record. The transcript has 3 exons. NCBI's taxonomy places the organism in Eukaryota, Metazoa, Chordata, Mammalia, Artiodactyla, Balaenopteridae.
ACUUAUAUUUAUUGGCUAUUUGGAUUUCCUUUUGCUGUGAAAUGCCUGUUCUUCUCCUUGUUCCAUGUUUAAAAAUCCGUUUAUUUAUCAUUAGGUCUGAGCUCUUCACCACUACACCCAGCCAGCUUCUUCAACUGAGAAAAACAAAUGCAUCUGAUAAAGGGAGUCAAAGACAUCACCCUUCUUCCUCCAAGGGCUGAAGAAAGCAGCCCUUAUUGACUGGCUUCUAUCACUCAUCUGAUUAAAGGUGGGAUGACUGGCAUGAACGCCAAUUUGAGCUUCAAGGUGGACACUCUGGGGUGCUACUGUCCAUACCAUUUUUCGAGGGAGGGGAGCUGCUUUUCCUGCUUGAAAGAUGUGGCCGUAGGCAGAGACAGGACAACACUUCAGAUGCCUGGUAGCAGCUAGUACAGACAAAAGCUUCAUGGAGUUGCCUCUCUCUCUCCAGUUGUCUUCCUAGUUCCAAAAAACUAGAUUCCCAAAUGCCAUGUAAAGAAGUUUUCAAGUACUUAUCAGCGUGGAUCUUCCAGAGUGUUCAGUCAAGAAUGAGCCCAGGGAACUUCCCUGGUGGUCCAGUGGGUAAGA